AUACGUAGGUGACAAGCGUUAUCCGGAUUUACUGGGCGUAAAGGGCGUGUAGGCGGUCUUGCAAGUCAGAAGUGAAAUUCCUGAGCUCAACUCGGGCGCUGCUUCUGAAACUGCAGGACUUGAGUGCUGGAGGGGAUAGCGGAAUUCCUCGUGGAGCGGUAAAAUGCGCAGAUAUUAGGAAGAACACCGGUGGCGAAGGCGGCUAUCUGGACAGUAACUGACGCUGAGGCGCGAAAGCGUGGGGAACAAACAGGAUUUGAUUCCCUGGUAGUCCACGCCGUAAACGAUGAAUACUAGGUGUAGGGGGUAUCGACUCCCUCUGUGCCGCAGUUAACACAAUAAGUAUUCCGCCUGGGGAGUACGGCCGCAAGGUUGAAACUUAAAGGAAUUGGCGGGG
This 397-nucleotide ribosomal RNA is filed under the name uncultured bacterium. RNAcentral describes it as "partial 16S ribosomal RNA". It matches the Rfam family "Bacterial small subunit ribosomal RNA", at positions 523 to 918 of the family's 1533-position model. The record is from RNAcentral.